UACGGGGGGGGCAAGCGUUGUUCGGAUUUACUGGGCGUAAAGGGCGCGUAGGCGGCCACCGCAAGUCAGUUGUGAAAUCUCUGGGCUUAACCCAGAACGGUCAGCUGAUACUGCGGGGCUAGAGUGCAGAAGGGGCAACUGGAAUUCUCGGUGUAGCGGUGAAAUGCGUAGAUAUCGAGAGGAACACCUGCGGCGAAGGCGGGUUGCUGGGCUGACACUGACGCUGACAGCGCGAAAGCUAGGGGAGCGAACGGG
Molecule: ribosomal RNA, 255 nt
Filed under: uncultured bacterium
Lineage: Bacteria
Description: partial 16S ribosomal RNA
Rfam family: Bacterial small subunit ribosomal RNA
Source: RNAcentral